Molecule: unclassified non-coding RNA, 328 nt
Filed under: soil metagenome
Description: partial contains 5.8S ribosomal RNA, internal transcribed spacer 2, and large subunit ribosomal RNA
Rfam family: 5.8S ribosomal RNA (bases 1-119)
Source: RNAcentral
GAUGAAGAACGCAGCGAAAUGCGAUAAGUAAUGCGAAUUGCAGAAUCCGUGAGUCAUCGAAUCUUUGAACGCAUAUUGCGCCCCUUGGUAUUCCGAGGGGCAUGCCUGUUCGAGCGUCAUUAUAACCCCUCAAGCUCAGCUUGGUGUUGGGGCCUGCUGCACUGGCAGCCCUUAAAAUCAGUGGCGGCGCCGUCUGGCUCUAAGCGUAGUAAUUCUUCUCGCUAUGGAGUCCUGGUGGAUGCUUGCCAUCAACCCCCAAUUUUUCUAUGGUUGACCUCGGAUCAGGUAGGGAUACCCGCUGAACUUAAGCAUAUCAAUAAGCGGAGGA